CGCGGCCUAUCAGCUUGUUGGUGGGGUAACGGCCCACCAAGGCAUCGACGGGUAGCUGGUCUGAGAGGACGAUCAGCCACACUGGGACUGAGACACGGCCCAGACUCCUACGGGAGGCAGCAGUGGGGAAUAUUGCGCAAUGGGCGAAAGCCUGACGCAGCAACGCCGCGUGGGGGAUGAAGGCCUUCGGGUUGUAAACCCCUUUCAGCAGGGACGAAAAUGACGGUACCUGCAGAAGAAGCCCCGGCCAACUACGUGCCAGCAGCCGCGGUAACACGUAGGGGGCAAGCGUUGUCCGGAUUUAUUGGGCGUAAAGAGCUCGUAGGCGGUUGCGUAAGUCGGAUGUGAAAACUCAGGGCUCAACCCGGAGACGCCAUCCGAUACUGCGCUGACUAGAGUCCGGUAGAGGAGCAUGGAAUUCCUGGUGUAGCGGUGAAAUGCGCAGAUAUCAGGAGGAACACCAGUGGCGAAGGCGGUGCUCUGGGCCGGUACUGACGCUGAGGAGCGAAAGCGUGGGUAGCGAACAGGAUUAGAUACCCUGGUAGUCCACGCCGUAAACGUUGGGCACUAGGUGUGGGGCCUCCUUAACGGGUUCCGUGCCGUAGCUAACGCAUUAAGUGCCCCGCCUGGGGAGUACGG
This 639-nucleotide ribosomal RNA is filed under the name uncultured bacterium. RNAcentral's name for it is "bacterial SSU rRNA". It matches the Rfam family "Bacterial small subunit ribosomal RNA", at positions 232 to 885 of the family's 1533-position model. RNAcentral also lists the same sequence under 1 other name. The record is from RNAcentral.